CGAGUGGCGGACGGGUGAGUAACGCGUGGGUAACCUGCCUCAUACAGGGGAAUAACAGUUGGAAACGGCUGCUAAAACCGCAUAAGCGCACAGUAUCGCAUGAUACAGUGUGAAAAACUCCGGUGGUAUGAGAUGGACCCGCGUCUGAUUAGCUAGUUGGUGAGGUAACGGCCCACCAAGGCAACGAUCAGUAGCCGGCCUGAGAGGGUGAACGGCCACAUUGGGACUGAGACACGGCCCAAACUCC
RNAcentral lists this ribosomal RNA (247 nucleotides) under uncultured Lachnospiraceae bacterium. Its description in RNAcentral is "partial 16S ribosomal RNA". It matches the Rfam family "Bacterial small subunit ribosomal RNA", at positions 92 to 339 of the family's 1533-position model. Lineage: Bacteria; Bacillati; Bacillota; Clostridia; Lachnospirales; Lachnospiraceae. The record is from RNAcentral.